AUUGAACGCUGGCGGCAGGCCUAACACAUGCAAGUCGAACGGUAACAGGAAGCAGCUUGCUGCUUUGCUGACGAGUGGCGGACGGGUGAGUAAUGUCUGGGAAACUGCCCGAUGGAGGGGGAUAACUACUGGAAACGGUAGCUAAUACCGCAUAACGUCGCAAGACCAAAGAGGGGGACCUUAGGGCCUCUUGCCAUCGGAUGUGCCCAGAUGGGAUUAGCUAGUAGGUGGGGUAACGGCUCACCUAGGCGACGAUCCCUAGCUGGUCUGAGAGGAUGACCAGCCACACUAGAACUGACAUACGGACCACACGCCUGCGUGAGGGAGGUGGGGGGAAGCUUGCACAGGGGGCGCAAGCCUGAUGCAGACAUGUCGUGUGUAUGAGGGUGGCCUUGGUGUUGGAAAGUUCGUGCAGCGGGGAGGAAGGAAGUAAAGUUACUACCUUUGCUCAUUUACGUUACCCGAAGAAGAAGCCCCGGCCAACUCCGAGCCAUCCGCGUCGGUAAUAAGCGAAGAGCACACUUGUGACC
RNAcentral lists this ribosomal RNA (530 nucleotides) under uncultured bacterium. RNAcentral describes it as "partial 16S ribosomal RNA". It matches the Rfam family "Bacterial small subunit ribosomal RNA", at positions 38 to 536 of the family's 1533-position model. The record is from RNAcentral.